This 253-nucleotide ribosomal RNA is filed under the name uncultured bacterium. Its description in RNAcentral is "partial 16S ribosomal RNA". It matches the Rfam family "Bacterial small subunit ribosomal RNA", at positions 524 to 776 of the family's 1533-position model. The record is from RNAcentral.
UACGUAGGGGGCAAGCGUUGUCCGGAUUUAUUGGGCGUAAAGAGCGUGUAGGCGGCCAGGUAGGUCUGCUGUGAAAACUCGAGGCUUAACCUCGAGCUGUCGGCGGAAACCAUCUGGCUAGAGUCCGGAAGAGGAGAAUGGAAUUCCCGGUGUAGCGGUGAAAUGCGCAGAUAUCAGGAAGAACACCCGUGGCGAAAGCGGCUCUCUGGGACGGUACUGACGCUGAGACGCGAAAGCGUGGGGAGCGAACAGG